UGAAUCCCAGCUGAUUAGCUGUCAAAAUAUUAUUAUUUUCAAUGAAAAAUUCUAACCUGUUUUUAACAAGAUGCUCAGCUAUUUUAGCAAGAACAGAGGAUAGGGCUAUUGGGCGAAAAGAAGAAACAUCAGAGGCUGGUUUGUUUGGUUUUAAUAUGGGAAUUAUAGCUUGGGUUUUCCAAGAAGAAGGAAUAAUACCAGACAACACAAUGGCAUUAAUAAUACUCAAAUAGUAGUUCAAGGAAGCGACACUGCUGUUUAUUAAGAAAGAGUUAGAAGGAGGGCAAGAGAUAGGUAAAGUAAGAACAAGUGGUAAUUGAUCACUGCCAUAAGAAUGAUCAAGUACACUCCAGGAUAUCAGAGAGGCCAUACUUGGAGAGCACAGAGAUAGGUCAGGAGCACUAAGGCAUUCACCAGGACCAGUACGUCGAGUUGGAGUGCCAUUGUUCAAAAUACAUAUAUUUUGAGAGUCUAAAAUAUCUGCCAUCAAUUCACCAUAAUAAUUAGAACUAGUACUACCCCAUGACUGAUUUUGACAAUUGAAAUCCCCAAGUACUAAAAAUGGACUAGGUAAAGUAAUUGUGGAGGAGAGGUAGCAGCUACAUCAGCAUAAGACUUUGAUGUAGAAGGGGGAUGGACUUUAGCCGCCUCUGCAUAUGAUAUGCAGCUCUGGGCCAUUGAAAUUUUGAUUUUCUGCUGUCUAGAAAAUUCUGGACACAAC
This is a long non-coding RNA of Pararge aegeria (speckled wood butterfly), 721 nucleotides long. RefSeq lists it as uncharacterized. The record is from RefSeq and is a predicted model, not a curated record. The transcript has 3 exons. NCBI's taxonomy places the organism in Eukaryota, Metazoa, Arthropoda, Insecta, Lepidoptera, Nymphalidae.